Molecule: ribosomal RNA, 254 nt
Filed under: uncultured bacterium
Lineage: Bacteria
Description: partial 16S ribosomal RNA
Rfam family: Bacterial small subunit ribosomal RNA
Source: RNAcentral
GACGAACCGUCCAAACGUUAUUCGGAAUCACUGGGCUUACAGAGUUCGUAGGCGGUCUGGAAAGUUGGGUGUGAAAGCCCCCCGGCUCAACUGGGGAGGGUCACGCGAUACUGAUCGACUCGAAGGCAGGAGAGGGUAGUGGAAUUCCCGGUGUAGUGGUGAAAUGCGUAGAUAUCGGGAGGAACACCAGUGGCGAAGGCGACUACCUGGCCUGUUCUUGACGCUGAGGCGCGAAAGCUAGGGGAGCAAACGGG